This 399-nucleotide ribosomal RNA is filed under the name uncultured bacterium. RNAcentral describes it as "bacterial SSU rRNA". It matches the Rfam family "Bacterial small subunit ribosomal RNA", at positions 356 to 773 of the family's 1533-position model. The record is from RNAcentral.
GGGGAAUUUUGCGCAAUGGGGGGAACCCUGACGCAGCAACGCCGCGUGCGGGACGAAGGCCUUCGGGUUGUAAACCGCUUUCAGCAGGGAAGACAUAGACGGUACCUGCAGAAGAAGCUCCGGCUAACUACGUGCCAGCAGCCGCGGUAAUACGUAGGGGGCGAGCGUUAUCCGGAUUCAUUGGGCGUAAAGCGCGCGUAGGCGGCCGCCUAAGCGGAACCUCUAAUCCCGGGGCUCAACCUCGGGCCGGGUUCCGGACUGGGCGGCUCGAGUGCGGUAGAGGCAGGCGGAAUUCCCGGUGUAGCGGUGGAAUGCGCAGAUAUCGGGAAGAACACCGAUGGCGAAGGCAGCCUGCUGGGCCGCCACUGACGCUGAGGCGCGAAAGCUGGGGGAGCGAAC